AUACGGAGGGUGCAAGCGUUAAUCGGAAUUACUGGGCGUAAAGCGCGCGUAGGCGGCUUUGUAAGUCGGAUGUGAAAGCCCUGGGCUCAACCUGGGAAUUGCAUUCGAAACUGCAGAGCUAGAGUAUGGUAGAGGGAAGUGGAAUUUCCGGUGUAGCGGUGAAAUGCGUAGAUAUCGGAAGGAACACCAGUGGCGAAGGCGACUUCCUGGGCCAAUACUGACGCUGAGGUGCGAAAGCGUGGGGAGCAAACAGGAUUAGAAACCCCGGUAGUCC
Molecule: ribosomal RNA, 274 nt
Filed under: uncultured bacterium
Lineage: Bacteria
Description: partial 16S ribosomal RNA
Rfam family: Bacterial small subunit ribosomal RNA
Source: RNAcentral